This 70-nucleotide transfer RNA is filed under the name Microhyla achatina (Java rice frog). RNAcentral's name for it is "tRNA-Val". Lineage: Eukaryota; Metazoa; Chordata; Amphibia; Anura; Microhylidae. The record is from RNAcentral.
ACAAAAUGUAGCUUAACUAAAGCACCUCGCUUACACCGAGACCAUAUCCGUGAAACCCAGAUCAUUUUGA